GGGGGAAAAAGCACAGAACAAAGAUAUAAGGUUAAAGUGUAACUGGUUAGAUUGUGACUGUCACCCCCUUGUAUGCUUUUCCUGUAAAUUGUGUCAUGAACCUUGUUGGUCUCAUUGUCGGAGUGGUAGAACACCUAGGGGAAUUUGUACGCCGUGCUAUGAGAAAGAGAGGAGACUAACUUCUAUCAUUCUUAGUAGCAGAGUUGCUACGGGGGAGGUAAAGCUUGGAUCUGACGAGUGGUGGGAAACCUUUUCCAAAGGGGUAAAUCCUGAUCGGUUCUGCUACCACCCUAACGAACCGAUCCCCUUUCUCCUGGACAUCCUGGAAGUGGUGUGUCGGAAGAAAGCCCCCAAUUUGCGGCGUGACCUCUCAUUAAUAAAAGCUAAUAACUGGGCCGCCAGUGCUAAAAAGUGGAAACGGGAGGUUUAUCCGGCUCCUGAAGAAUACCCCUGCUGCCGAGAAGAUGGUAAACCCCAAGGCUCGCAGCAACCGAGUCGUCGGGCGAGGCAGAGAGGUAAUAACCAGUGGAGUCCGUCGGAAGCCCCGACCCCCAUAUGGGAUGUCCAGGAAAUGUUGGCUGUCCUGCCCCAGGAUUGGUAACCCACCACUGGGGAAACCAAAGAGAAGUCACCAAAUAAGGACAUAGGGUGAAGAAGACGCGGCUGAGGAAGACUCCGCAGCCUUUAUCACCGACCACCAGGAGACAGAAGGAUGACCCCCUAGCAACAACCAGCGCAGGCGCAGAGAACUCCGAGAUAACAUGGACUCCUGAAGGAUGGAGAGGAUAAAAGGACUGAAUCAGAAACUAGUUGGUGCGGCAGUAGUGGAGCGGAGACUCCCCUGUCGCCCAGCGCUGAGCCUUUGCUUACGUAGUAUAACUGCUUCAAUAAUUAAUAAAUUCUUUGAUUGGAAA
This is a non-coding RNA of Agelaius phoeniceus (red-winged blackbird), 914 nucleotides long. The record is from RefSeq and is a predicted model, not a curated record. Lineage: Eukaryota; Metazoa; Chordata; Aves; Passeriformes; Icteridae.